RNAcentral lists this long non-coding RNA (977 nucleotides) under Mus pahari (shrew mouse). Its description in RNAcentral is "predicted gene 15469 (MGP_PahariEiJ_G0003844.1)". Lineage: Eukaryota; Metazoa; Chordata; Mammalia; Rodentia; Muridae. The record is from RNAcentral.
GGGAAAGUGCGCUUUUCAGAGAGCUAGGGGUUGCGCUUUGAGGCUCCUGGUGUCUGCCGUGAAGGCAAUUACCCAAGGGACCGUGAGCUUGCAGGUCUAAACAGUCCCUCCCCCGGCUCCCUCACCCGGCUGGAAGUCGAUGGUUCGCAACAUUUCGGCCACGUGCUCCACGCUCACGGAGAAUUGCUCCAUGCUCUCAUAGCCUGGCUCCGGCCGUCCUGCCAGCUCCACCUUCGACAUUGCCCCGACCCUGUGAUGGCCACAAGGGCUCAGCAGGGGGAUCCCACUCCCUCAAGCCCCUCCCAGGUCAGAAGGGAAGAAUCCACAGGGUCCCUUCCUUUCCCACCGUGCAGUCCACUCACUUGUUGAUCAGCUCCUUGGCCUGCUGCAGGGGAGAAAAGGAGGGCGAAGGCCUGCUUCCCUCCCUCUCCACCCACCUGGAGGUAGAGAGCCAUCUGCGGCUCCUCCAUGGACUGGAUGGCAGACUCCACCAGCUUCGAGGAGGCCUCCAAGUGGUCUCCGUACUGGCGGAUGAGGCCCCGCACGCGCUGCAACUUCUCCUCCUGCUCCCGGGCCAGUGCUUGAAGCAGUUCGCCCUUGCGCUCCUCCAAAACCGCACACAGAGUCUCGAACCUCUGGUUUAACAGUUGCUUCUGUCUGCGGCUGUUGUCCUGAAAGACCAUGGCAGUAUGAUCUCGCCUGCGCAACCCCAGAGCUCGAGAGCAAGAAAUUUUAGUCUUCAUCCCACUUUUUAAAAAGCCAAGAAGGAAAGUGACCUGGCUAGGGUCACACCCUGAGUCAGGGACACAGAACCCAGCUCAGAUAUUUUCAGUUAACAGCGAUGACAAGGAUGACAAAGAAUUUCAAAGUUGUUUCACUGGGAGCCAUGUAUGCUGCUGGCUCUGGCUCUGUGUUGCACUAAUUCCCACUUCCUUGUUAAGAAAAUUAAAUCAGUGGCUACUGUGUGACUACCAGCA